RNAcentral lists this ribosomal RNA (253 nucleotides) under uncultured bacterium. RNAcentral's name for it is "partial 16S ribosomal RNA". It matches the Rfam family "Bacterial small subunit ribosomal RNA", at positions 524 to 776 of the family's 1533-position model. The record is from RNAcentral.
UACGAAGGGGGCUAGCGUUGUUCGGAAUCACUGGGCGUAAAGCGCACGUAGGCGGAUGUGCCAGUCAGGGGUGAAAUCCCGGAGCUCAACUUCGGAACUGCCUCUGAUACAGCACGUCUUGAGUCCGGAAGAGGUGGGUGGAAUUCCUAGUGUAGAGGUGAAAUUCGUAGAUAUUAGGAAGAACACCAGUGGCGAAGGCGGCUCACUGGUCCGGUACUGACGCUGAGGUGCGAAAGCGUGGGGAGCAAACAGG